GACCGUGUAGCUCAAUUGGCAGAGCAUUGGGCUAGUAUUCCAAAAAUCGUAGGUUCGAUUCCCACCUUGGACA
Molecule: transfer RNA, 73 nt
Filed under: Paramuricea clavata
Lineage: Eukaryota; Metazoa; Cnidaria; Anthozoa; Malacalcyonacea; Plexauridae
Rfam family: tRNA
About the family: Transfer RNA (tRNA) molecules are approximately 80 nucleotides in length. Their secondary structure includes four short double-helical elements and three loops (D, anti-codon, and T loops).
Source: Rfam by way of RNAcentral